UGGGGAAUAUUGGACAAUGGGCGAAAGCCUGAUCCAGCCAUGCCGCGUGUGUGAAGAAGGUCUUCGGAUUGUAAAGCACUUUAAGUUGGGAGGAAGGGCAGUAAGUUAAUCCCUUGCUGUUUUGACGUUACCAACAGAAUAAGCACCGGCUAACUUCGUGCCAGCAGCCGCGGUAAUACGAAGGGUGCAAGCGUUAAUCGGAAUUUCUGGGCGUAAAGCGCGCGUAGGUGGUUCAGCAAGUUGGAUGUGAAAUCCCCGGGCUCAACCUGGGAACUGCAUCCAAAACUACUGAGCUAGAGUACGGUAGAGGGUGGUGGAAUUUCCUGUGUAGCGGUGAAAUGCGUAGAUAUAGGAAGGAACACCAGUGGCGAAGGCGACCACCUGGACUGAUACUGACACUGAGGUGCGAAAGCGUGGGGAGCAAACAGGAUUAGAUCCCCUGGUAGUCCACGCCGUAAACGAUGUCGACUAGCCGUUGGGAUCCUUGAGAUCUUAGUGGCGCAGCUAACGCGAUAAGUCGACCGCCUGGGGAGCACGGCCGCAAGGUUA
RNAcentral lists this ribosomal RNA (549 nucleotides) under uncultured bacterium. Its description in RNAcentral is "bacterial SSU rRNA". It matches the Rfam family "Bacterial small subunit ribosomal RNA", at positions 355 to 896 of the family's 1533-position model. The record is from RNAcentral.